This 420-nucleotide long non-coding RNA is filed under the name Heterocephalus glaber (naked mole-rat). RNAcentral's name for it is "lncRNA (ENSHGLG00100044649.1)". Lineage: Eukaryota; Metazoa; Chordata; Mammalia; Rodentia; Bathyergidae. The record is from RNAcentral.
AAAGCUGGAGAAGGCUGUAGGCACCGGGGCUGCUGGCCCCCUGUGAGUGCAGUGCUGAGUCUGGGGUUCCUCAUCCUUGUCCUUUGCUUCCUGGGUCUCAGUGCUUCCAGGGGAGCAAUGACGCAGCUGUCGGCCAAUGACGAGGAUCUGGAGGAGAGGUCGGAGAGUGAGGGGAGCGACUACUCCCCAACAAGAAGAAGAAGAAGAAGCUCAAGGACAAGAAGGAGAAAAAAGCCAAGCGGAGAAAGAAGGACGAAGAUGAGGAGGACAAUGAAGACGGGUGCUUAAAGGAGCCCAAGUCCUCGGGGCAGCUCAUGGCUGAGUGGGGCCUGGACGACGUGGACUACCUGUUCUCAGAGGAGGACUACCACACACUGACCAACUACAAGGCCUUCAGCCAGUUCCUCCGUGGGUGGGCGG